GACGAACGCUGGCGGCGUGCUUAACACAUGCAAGUCGAACGGUGAAGCGCCUUCCUUUUUGGUGGGUGUGGAUGAGUGGCGAACUGGUUAGUAACACGUUAGUAACCUGCCCCCUUCUUCUGGAUAACCGCAUGAAAGUGUUGCUAAUACGGGAUAUUCUGUUUCUGUCGCAUGAUGGGUCUGUGAAAGAUUUUGUUUCUGUUGUGGAUGGGCUCGCGGCCUAUCAGCUUGUUGGUGGGGUGAUGGCCUACCAAGGCGGUGAGGGGUAGCCGGCCUGAGAGGGUGGACGGUAACACAGGGACUGAGACACGGAGAAGACUACGAGGGGAGGCAGCAGUGAGGAAUAGUGCACAAUGGGAGGAAGGAUGAAGCAGCGACGCGGGGUGAGGGAUGGAGGGCUUAGGGUUGUGAACCUCUAUCGGGAGAGAAGAAGGGGUGAAUCGUUUGUGGGUGGGUUGACGGUAGCUGGAUAAGAAGCGCCGGCUAACUACGUG
This 494-nucleotide ribosomal RNA is filed under the name uncultured bacterium. RNAcentral describes it as "partial 16S ribosomal RNA". It matches the Rfam family "Bacterial small subunit ribosomal RNA", at positions 28 to 507 of the family's 1533-position model. The record is from RNAcentral.